Molecule: ribosomal RNA, 492 nt
Filed under: uncultured bacterium
Lineage: Bacteria
Description: bacterial SSU rRNA
Rfam family: Bacterial small subunit ribosomal RNA
Source: RNAcentral
AAAGGAAUUGACGGGGACCCGCACAAGCAGCGGAGCAUGUGGUUUAAUUCGAAGCAACGCGAAAAACCUUACCAAGGCUUGACAUAUGUAUGACCACUAUAGAGAUAUAGUAUUCCUUCGGGACAUAUAUACAGGUGGUGCACGGUUGUCGUCAGCUCGUGUCGUGAGAUGUUGGGUUAAGUCCCGCAACGAGCGCAACCCCUAUGAUUAGUUGCCAAUAUUAAGUUAGGAACUUUAGUCAGACUGCCGUGGAUAACACGGAGGAAGGUGGGGAUGACGUCAAAUCAUCAUGCCCCUUACGCCUUGGGCUACACACGUGCUACAAUGGCUAUUACAAAGAGCAGCGAAACGGUAACGUCAAGCGAAUCUCAUAAAGAUAGUCUCAGUUCGGAUUGUGGGCUGCAACCCGCCCACAUGAAGCAGGAGUUGCUAGUAAUCCCGAAUCAGCAUGUCGGGGUGAAUGCGUUCCCGGGUCUUGCACACACCGCCCGU